UACGUAGGUGGCAAGCGUUGUCCGGAUUUACUGGGCGUAAAGAGCGCGCAGGCGGUCGUAUAAGUCGCGUGUGAAAGCCCCCGGCUCAACUGGGGAGGGUCACGCGAUACUGUUCGACUCGAAGGCAGGAGAGGGAAGUGGAAUUCCCGGUGUAAUGGUGAAAUGCGUAGAUAUCGGGAGGAACACCAGUGGCGAAGGCGACUUCCUGGCCUGUUCUUGACGCUGAGGCGCGAAAGCUAGGGUAGCAAACGGG
Molecule: ribosomal RNA, 253 nt
Filed under: uncultured bacterium
Lineage: Bacteria
Description: partial 16S ribosomal RNA
Rfam family: Bacterial small subunit ribosomal RNA
Source: RNAcentral